AGUGAACGCUGGCGGUAGGCCUAAUACAUGCAAGUCGAACGGCAGCACAGUAAGAGCUUGCUCUUACGGGUGGCGAGUGGCGGACGGGUGAGGAAUACAUCGGAAUCUACUUUUUCGUGGGGGAUAACGUAGGGCAACUUAUGCUAAUACCGCACACGACCUACGGGUGGAAGCAAGAGAUCUUCGGACCUUGCCCGACUGAAUUAGCCGAUGCCGGAUUAGCUAGUUGGCGGGGUAAAGGCACACCAAGGCGACGAUGCGUAGCUGGCCUGAGAGGAUGAUCAGCCACACUGGAACUGAGACACGGUCCAGACUCCUACGGGAGGCAGCAGUAGGGAAUCUUGGACAAUGGGCGCAAGCCUGACCCAGCCAUACCGCGUGAGUGAAGAAGGCCUUCGGGUUGUAAAGCCCUUUUGUUGGGAAAGAAAAGCAGCAGGUUAAUACCCCGCUGUUCUGACGGUACCCAAAGAGUAAGCACCGGCUAACUUCGUG
Molecule: ribosomal RNA, 492 nt
Filed under: uncultured bacterium
Lineage: Bacteria
Description: partial 16S ribosomal RNA
Rfam family: Bacterial small subunit ribosomal RNA
Source: RNAcentral